CAACUUUUAACAAUGGAUCUCUUGGUUCUGGCAUCGAUGAAGAACGCAGCGAAAUGCGAUAAGU
RNAcentral lists this ribosomal RNA (64 nucleotides) under Pleosporales sp. RNAcentral's name for it is "partial 5.8S ribosomal RNA". It matches the Rfam family "5.8S ribosomal RNA", at positions 1 to 63 of the family's 154-position model. From Rfam's summary of the family: 5.8S ribosomal RNA (5.8S rRNA) is a component of the large subunit of the eukaryotic ribosome. It is transcribed by RNA polymerase I as part of the 45S precursor that also contains 18S and 28S rRNA. The record is from RNAcentral. Lineage: Eukaryota; Fungi; Ascomycota; Dothideomycetes; Pleosporales.